AACGAACGCUGGCGGCAUGCCUAACACAUGCAAGUCGAACGAGACCUUCGGGUCUAGUGGCGCACGGGUGCGUAACGCGUGGGAACCUGCCCUUAGGUUCGGAAUAACUCCCCGAAAGGGGUGCUAAUACCGGAUAAUGUCUUCGGACCAAAGAUUUAUCGCCUUUGGAUGGGCCCGCGUUGGAUUAGCUAGUUGGUAGGGUAAAAGCCUACCAAGGCGACGAUCCAUAGCUGGUCUGAGAGGAUGAUCAGCCACACUGGGACUGAGACACGGCCCAGACCCCCAGGGGGGGGAGCAGGGGGGAAUAUUGGACAAUGGGCGAAAGCCUGACCCAGCAAUGCCGGGGGAGUGAUGAAGGCCUUAGGGUUUUAAAGCUCUUUUCCCCGGGAUGAUAAUGACAGUACCGGGAGAAAAAGCCCCGGCUAACCCCGU
This 432-nucleotide ribosomal RNA is filed under the name uncultured bacterium. RNAcentral describes it as "partial 16S ribosomal RNA". It matches the Rfam family "Bacterial small subunit ribosomal RNA", at positions 29 to 506 of the family's 1533-position model. The record is from RNAcentral.